This 460-nucleotide ribosomal RNA is filed under the name uncultured bacterium. RNAcentral describes it as "partial 16S ribosomal RNA". It matches the Rfam family "Bacterial small subunit ribosomal RNA", at positions 338 to 795 of the family's 1533-position model. The record is from RNAcentral.
CCUACGGGUGGCAGCAGUGAGGAAUAUUGGUCAAUGGGCGGAAGCCUGAACCAGCCAAGUAGCGUGCAGGAUGACGGCCCUACGGGUUGUAAACUGCUUUUAUACGGGAAUAACGCGCCUUACGUGUAGGGCUUUGCAUGUACCGUAUGAAUAAGGACCGGCUAAUUCCGUGCCAGCAGCCGCGGUAAUACGGAGGGUCCGGGCGUUAUCCGGAUUUAUUGGGUUUAAAGGGAGCGUAGGCCGCAAGUCAAGCGUGCUGUGAAAUGUCCGGGCUCAACCCGGGCCUUGCAGCGCGAACUGGCGGGCUUGAGGCGGCGAGAAGCAGGCGGAAUGCGUGGUGUAGCGGUGAAAUGCUUAGAUAUGGCGAAGAACCCCGAUUGCGAAGGCAGCUUGCUGCAGCGGAACUGACGCUGAGGCUCGAAAGCGCGGGUAUCGAACAGGAUUAGAUACCCUUGUAGUC